Molecule: ribosomal RNA, 455 nt
Filed under: Campylobacter gracilis
Lineage: Bacteria; Pseudomonadati; Campylobacterota; Epsilonproteobacteria; Campylobacterales; Campylobacteraceae
Description: bacterial SSU rRNA
Rfam family: Bacterial small subunit ribosomal RNA
Source: RNAcentral
AGUGAACGCUGGCGGCGUGCUAAUACAUGCAAGUCGAACGGAAUUUAAAAGAGCUUGCUCUUUUGAAUUUAGUGGCGCACGGGUGAGUAAUAUACAGCUAAUCUGCCCCUUGCUGGAGGACAACAGUUAGAAAUGACUGCUAAUACUCCAUACUCCUUUUUACCAAAAGAUAAAUCGGGAAAGAAUUUCGGCAAGGGAUGAGACUAUAUCGUAUCAGCUAGUCGGUGGGGUAACGGCCUACCGAGGCUAUGACGCGUAACUGGUCUGAGAGGAUGAUCAGUCACAUUGGAACUGAGACACGGUCCAAACUCCUACGGGAGGCAGCAGUAGGGAAUAUUGCGCAAUGGGGGAAACCCUGACGCAGCAACGCCGCGUGGAGGAUGACACUUUUCGGAGCGUAAACUCCUUUUGUUAGGGAAGAAUAAUGACGGUACCUAACGAAUAAGCACCGGUAA